AUGACAGAGGACAGCGGCGACAACGGUGCCCAAGCCAUCGACGCGCUGCUAUCCAGGUCCCUCUUCCUCAUUAGCGACGGUGGCAACGAUAUGUUUGACUUCUUCCUGAAGAAACGGUCGCCUUUUGAGGUACCGGCCUUCUACAAGGACCUUCUGUCCAACUACACCAAGUAUGUGAAGACGCUGUACGGGCUCGGGGCGCGGCGUUUCGGUGUCAUCAACGUGGCUCCCAUCGGCUGCGCGCCGGCGGCGCGGGCGAGAUCCCCGUUCGGCGACGGCUACUGCGAAUUUUUUUCCAAUAAACUCGCCAGGGACUUCGACAGCGCCUUGGGCGACGCGAUGGCGAACCUCGCCGCGUCGCUGCCCGGGAUGAAGUACUCCGUGGGGAGCCCCUACCAGCUGGUGGAAUACUACACCGCGCACCCGGAGGCCGCCGGGUUCAAGGUUGUGAACAGCGCGUGCUGCGGCGGCGGGAAGCUCAACGCGGAGACCCUCUGUGGCUCCCCCAAUACCACCUACUGCGCCCACCGCGACGAGCACAUGUUCUGGGACAUGAUGCACGGCACCCAGGCCACCUGGAUCAAGGGCGCCGCGGACAUCUACGACGCGCCGGUGGAGCGAGGAUUCACGUCACCCAUCAAUUUCAAGCAGCUGCUUCUUGAUGACGAACGCGCAGUGUCAGCUGCUAAUUUGCUUGUGAGUGUGUGA
This 708-nucleotide ribosomal RNA is filed under the name Triticum aestivum (bread wheat). Its description in RNAcentral is "partial small subunit ribosomal RNA". The record is from RNAcentral. Lineage: Eukaryota; Viridiplantae; Streptophyta; Magnoliopsida; Poales; Poaceae.